Molecule: non-coding RNA, 115 nt
Filed under: Deinococcus maricopensis
Lineage: Bacteria; Thermotogati; Deinococcota; Deinococci; Deinococcales; Deinococcaceae
Also listed under: 1 other name
Description: TPP sequence
Rfam family: TPP riboswitch aptamer (THI element)
About the family: Vitamin B(1) in its active form thiamin pyrophosphate (TPP) is an essential coenzyme that is synthesised by coupling of pyrimidine and thiazole moieties in bacteria. The previously detected thiamin-regulatory element, thi box was extended, resulting in a new, highly conserved RNA secondary structure, the THI element, which is widely distributed in eubacteria and also occurs in some archaea. Analysis of operon structures identified a large number of new candidate thiamin-regulated genes, mostly transporters, in various prokaryotic organisms.
Source: RNAcentral
UGCUGUCACCAGGGGUGUCCCCAUACGCGGGGGCUGAGAGGGCCGAGCACAGCGGCCUGACCCUAGGAACCUGAUCUGGUUCACACCAGCGGAGGGAGCGUGACAGGCGCAACUG